RNAcentral lists this ribosomal RNA (274 nucleotides) under uncultured bacterium. RNAcentral describes it as "partial 16S ribosomal RNA". It matches the Rfam family "Bacterial small subunit ribosomal RNA", at positions 523 to 796 of the family's 1533-position model. The record is from RNAcentral.
AUACGAAGGGGGCUAGCGUUGUUCGGAAUUACUGGGCGUAAAGCGCGCGUAGGCGGACUGAUCAGUUGGGGGUGAAAUCCCAGGGCUUAACCCUGGAACUGCCUCCAAUACUGUCAGUCUUGAGUUCGGGAGAGGUGAGUGGAAUUCCUAGUGUAGAGGUGAAAUUCGUAGAUAUUAGGAAGAACACCAGUGGCGAAGGCGGCUCACUGGCCCGCUACUGACGCUGCGGCGCGAAAGCGUGGGGAGCAAACAGGAUUAGAAACCCUAGUAGUCC